Molecule: long non-coding RNA, 2189 nt
Organism: Psammomys obesus (fat sand rat)
Lineage: Eukaryota; Metazoa; Chordata; Mammalia; Rodentia; Muridae
Exons: 8
Source: RefSeq, a predicted model, not a curated record
CUCUCAGCUGGCUGGCUGGCCAGAGAGUGCCAAGGAUCCUGUAGCCCAAAGAGAAGGAGCAGGGAAGCAGAGAUAGCACAGCAUGUUUCAGCAAACCUGAAAUAAAAUACAUUUAAACAUGAACUGGGGGUAGCUGGCUAUCCUGAGUCUCUGAGUCUCUGAGUCUCACUAAGUACUUCAUAUCAUUUUCCUUGAAACUAAAGGAGAUUCGCUUGAUUUUCACCUGAAGCUCUCUCCAGGUGUAUUUUUAAUAGUGUAUAAUAGUGUGUAGGUGUUCUCAAAGCCCCACAGCAGCUCACCAUGAACAGUAACUGGAACCACAUACUGAAGGGGACCAGUGAAGAACAAUUACAGACUUUCAUUUUCCUUGUACACUUCAGGGGAAUUCACAGCAGAGUAUCUUGAAUGAAAAGCAACAUGGAAGAGAGAGCUCAUUUUCCCCUUUGGAAAAUGAAAUGGCAGACUGGCUACCUCGUGGCUAUUCCUUAUGGAUUAUUUAAUCAAAAAUAAAAAUAUUUCAGUGAGUAAAGAGAACAAUUAUACGUGUGUGUUAUAUUUAUCCUCAACUCACAGGACCUUUAACGCAUUUGCUUCUUUGCUGAUUCAGCAAAUAUCUGCAAUGCUCCCAGGACAUUGCCAAAUACCACACGAGGCUCCGGGGAACAGUGAACUCCCUGUUCGCGUAGGUUUUCAGGGAGGAGAGAAACCAAUAAAUAAAUAUGUAGACUAUAGAACGUUAGCACACAAUUUAGAACGCCAGGACUGUGGGAGGUGACUGACAAGCUCUGGGGCCAGACUGGAGCUCAUCCUCGGCCUUGCUGUUUGUUUCCUUAUUCCUCACAGGUUGUACGCUCAGACAGACGCCUUCCCCGACGACUCAAAGCCGGGCCUCUUGGACUCAGUUCUCUCCAGGCUCGCUUUGGACAGUCAUAAAUCAUGCGGCCCUCAACCCAACUCUAGCUCAGGACGCUGGUGCAGGGAGUCCGAGAACUUGGUAGCGUACACAGUUUUGAGCAUGAGAAAACAAACCCAAGGAAGAAAACAGCGAGGGGGACGGCGGCCGAGAGCUUCUAUCUCAGGGGUUAUUGUGUAAUUCAAAUGCUGAUUUCUGUUAUCUCCCACAUCUGGUUGCAAUCCUUGUUCUGAGGAUCUCCUGCCUCAAUGUGUAAACACUGCUCUCCAAUUAUCCCGUUAUGCCAAUAAAGCAGCUUACAGCCAAUCGCUGAUCAGGGGAGAGAAUACCCUGGACUUCCUGCCAGCCAAGGGAGGAGGAAUGAGAAGAGGAAGAGAUUCAACCAUAUCAGAUGUCCAGAAGAGACUGGAAGAGAGCUCAGCAGGAAGCUACAAAGUCUGAAGUACAGAGAAGUAAAGAACUUGCUGCCAUUCGCUCACAUGGAAAUGAGCUGGCAUGAAUGCAUACAGAUGAUUCAUUCAGUGAGAAUUUGGAUACUGGUGGAAAUCCAGGAUGAUCUUUUCUAGUUCCAUCCAUUUGCCUGCAACUUUCAUGAUUUCCUUGUUUUUACUACUAAUUGCUUAGUAGUAUUCCACUGUGUAAAGAGACCGAUACUCCAACCAAGAAGCACGCAUGGAGAGGACCUAGACGCCCUGCUCAGAUGAAGCCUGGAGGCUGCUCAGUUUCCAAGCUGUUCACUGCGAUUCUGGUAGAAGCUGCUCUGAGGGUGACUGAUGACCAUGGCGCGAGGAAGUCCCUCAACCUUCAUGUUCUACAAGUGUUUCCCCACACCCUCCAUCAAACUGCUGUCCCAUGUGUCUCACCUUGAGCCACACGUCUCUCCACACCAAAAAAUUAAAGCCUCAGGACUUGAAAAGAAUUGACUGGUCAGAGUGAGAAAGUUGACUCAGCCCAAGCCAGCCAGGCACCAGAAGCCCCAAAUCUCACUUGGCCUACUGCUCCUUCUGCCUACGCAUGCUUACUGCAAUGCUGGCAAUACUGGGAGCUGAAGAGAACAGAGCAUCAGCAUGGUUUAGACUGCACUGUACAUGCCACAGAAAUAAUGUAAAAUGAAGGACUCACUGUAGUUCAUCCGCAAGCACCCGGACAUCUUUAUAUCCAGAAUACCUUCACUGCAUAUUUUCUAUCAGUAAUGUAUACCUUUUAUUUUAUAUUUUAGUAUAAUUUUUUUUCAAAAACUGUGUUCACCAAUAAAUUCUAUGAAUGGGCAAAUGAA